CCAGGAUAUUGGUCUUGGCUGGGACUCAGCCGGAACCAUGGCGACUUGGAGUGGUGCGACGGAUCAACUACAUAUGACGCCCCGUGGUAUCUUCCGAAAUUUCCAUAUGCCUGCUCCAAAUUGACGACUGCUGCUGAAGUUUACAUAGACACUUGCGAUACCCUUCGUCCAUCCAUCUGUCAAAAAGGCAAGGCCAGAGAUUCUCUUCCGCUUCUCCCAGCGCCGACAU
This is a long non-coding RNA of Syngnathus acus (greater pipefish), 229 nucleotides long. RefSeq lists it as uncharacterized. Lineage: Eukaryota; Metazoa; Chordata; Actinopteri; Syngnathiformes; Syngnathidae. The transcript is spliced from 3 exons. The record is from RefSeq and is a predicted model, not a curated record.